RNAcentral lists this unclassified non-coding RNA (379 nucleotides) under soil metagenome. RNAcentral describes it as "partial contains 5.8S ribosomal RNA, internal transcribed spacer 2, and large subunit ribosomal RNA". The stretch from base 1 to 120 matches the Rfam family "5.8S ribosomal RNA", at positions 35 to 154 of the family's 154-position model. The record is from RNAcentral.
GAUUAAGAACGCAGCGAAAUGCGAUAAGUAAUGUGAAUUGCAGAAUUCAGUGAAUCAUCGAAUCUUUGAACGCACCUUGCACCCUUUGGCAUUCCGAAGGGUAUGCUCGUUUGAGUGUCAUUGUACUCUCACACUUCCAAUCUUUGGAUUGGGAGCAGUGGACUUGGGUGUUGCUGCUUACUGUGGCUCACCUCAAAUCGAUUCGUGCACCUCUUGGUUGGACAUAGUACGGCGUGAUAAGUGUCUUCGCCGGCACCUCAGUAGAGGGUGGCUGAUCAGGAGCUCUGUGCUUCAAACCGUCCUCGGACAAAAACUGACAACUUGACCUCAAAUCGAGUAGGACUACCCGCUGAACUUAAGCAUAUCAAUAAGCGGAGGA